Molecule: small nucleolar RNA, 129 nt
Filed under: Castor canadensis (American beaver)
Lineage: Eukaryota; Metazoa; Chordata; Mammalia; Rodentia; Castoridae
Description: Small nucleolar RNA SNORA51 (ENSCCNG00000008526.1)
Rfam family: Small nucleolar RNA SNORA51
About the family: ACA51 is a member of the H/ACA class of snoRNA that guide the sites of modification of uridines to pseudouridines.
Source: Rfam by way of RNAcentral
GACCUCCUGGGGCUUACCCCAGCUGUGUUCUUACACCGACUGGAUAGAAAGAAGAGGGAAAUAAACCCACCCCAUGUAAUGCUGGCCCAGGCCCUGUGCCUGGUCUGUAUUGUGACCAGAAAGAUAUGG